AACGAACGCUGGCGGCAGGCUUAACACAUGCAAGUCGAACGCCCCGCAAGGGGCUUGGCAGACGGGUGAGUACCGCGUGGGAACAUACCCUUUUCUACGGAAUAGCUCUGGGAAACUGGAAUUAAUACCGUAUACGCCCUACGGGGGAAAGAUUUAUCGGGGAAGGAUUGGCCCGCGUUGGAUUAGCUAGUUGGUGGGGUAAAGGCCUACCAAGGCGACGAUCCAUAGCUGGGCUGAGAGGAUGAUCAGCCACAUUGGGACUGAGACACGGCCCAAACUCCUACGGGAGGCAGCAGUGGGGAAUAUUGGACAAUGGGCGCAAGCCUGAUCCAGCCAUGACGCGUGAGUGAUGAAGGCCUUAGGGUUGUAAAGCUCUUUCACCGAUGAAGAUAAUGACGGUAGUCGGAGAAGAAGCCCCGGCUAACUUCGUG
RNAcentral lists this ribosomal RNA (431 nucleotides) under uncultured bacterium. RNAcentral's name for it is "partial 16S ribosomal RNA". It matches the Rfam family "Bacterial small subunit ribosomal RNA", at positions 29 to 507 of the family's 1533-position model. The record is from RNAcentral.